Molecule: ribosomal RNA, 442 nt
Filed under: uncultured bacterium
Lineage: Bacteria
Description: partial 16S ribosomal RNA
Rfam family: Bacterial small subunit ribosomal RNA
Source: RNAcentral
CCUACGGGAGUCUGCAGUGGGGAAUAUUGGGCAAUGGGCGCAAGCCUGACCCAGCAACGCCGCGUGAAGGCAGAAGGCUUUCGGGUUGUAAACUUCUUUUGACAGGGAAGAGCAGAAGACGGUACCUGUCGAAUAAGCCACGGCUAACUACGUGCCAGCAGCCGCGGUAAUACGUAGGUGGCAAGCGUUGUCCGGAGUUACUGGGGGUAAAGGGCGUGUAGCCGGGCUGACAAGUCAGAUGUGAAAUCCGGGGGCUCAACCCCCGAACUGCAUUUGAAACUGUUGGUCUUGAGUAUCGGAGAGGCAGGCGGAAUUCCUAGUGUAGCGGUGAAAUGCGUAGAUAUUAGGAGGAACACCAGUGGCGAAGGCGGCCUGCUGGACGACAACUGACGGUGAGGCGCGAAAGCGUGGGGAGCAAACAGGAUUAGAUACCCGGGUAGUC